UACGUAGGGACCGAGCGUUGUCCGGAAUCAUUGGGCGUAAAGAGCGUGUAGGCGGCUUGCUAAGUCUUGCGUGAAAUCUCGGGGCUCAACCCCGAGCGGUCGUGGGAAACUGGCAGGCUAGAGUGCGGGAGAGGAGAGUGGAAUUCCUGGUGUAGCGGUGAAAUGCGCAGAUAUCAGGAAGAACACCCGUGGCGAAGGCGGCUCUCUGGAACGCAACUGACGCUGAGACGCGAAAGCGUGGGGAGCAAACAGG
RNAcentral lists this ribosomal RNA (253 nucleotides) under uncultured bacterium. RNAcentral's name for it is "partial 16S ribosomal RNA". It matches the Rfam family "Bacterial small subunit ribosomal RNA", at positions 524 to 776 of the family's 1533-position model. The record is from RNAcentral.